AAUACAGAAAAUCCACUGUUCACACGGACAGAGUCUCCCCUAUAUUUGCACGGCGUCGCACAAGUACAAAAUGUCCAAACAGAGUACAACCACCAUAAUGAAUAUACAACAUUCAACAUUCAUUGACCAUUCAUAUAUACAUUCAUUUCAUUACAAAUAUCUAUAAAUCCACAUCUAUCAGUUUAAAACGUUUUCUAUCCGGAAACUGGUUUUGAAAUACUAUGUUACAAAAAUCACGAGAAACCUUUUAAAACUAUUUCCCACACGAAAAUCUUUU
RNAcentral lists this long non-coding RNA (277 nucleotides) under Ananas comosus (pineapple). RNAcentral describes it as "long non-coding RNA (ACOM_LNC043312)". Lineage: Eukaryota; Viridiplantae; Streptophyta; Magnoliopsida; Poales; Bromeliaceae. The record is from RNAcentral.